RNAcentral lists this ribosomal RNA (794 nucleotides) under uncultured bacterium. RNAcentral's name for it is "bacterial SSU rRNA". It matches the Rfam family "Bacterial small subunit ribosomal RNA", at positions 8 to 796 of the family's 1533-position model. The record is from RNAcentral.
AGAGUUUGAUCCUGGCUCAGAUUGAACGCUGGCGCAUGCCUUACACAUGCAAGUCGAACGGCAGCACGGGUGCUUGCACCUGGUGGCGAGUGGCGAACGGGUGAGUAAUACAUCGGAACAUGUCCUGUAGUGGGGGAUAGCCCGGCGAAAGCCGGAUUAAUACCGCAUACGAUCUACGGAUGAAAGCGGGGGACCUUCGGGCCUCGCGCUAUAGGGUUGGCCGAUGGCUGAUUAGCUAGUUGGUGGGGUAAAGGCCUACCAAGGCGACGAUCAGUAGCUGGUCUGAGAGGACGACCAGCCACACUGGGACUGAGACACGGCCCAGACUCCUACGGGAGGCAGCAGUGGGGAAUUUUGGACAAUGGGCGAAAGCCUGAUCCAGCAAUGCCGCGUGUGUGAAGAAGGCCUUCGGGUUGUAAAGCACUUUUGUCCGGAAAGAAAUCCUUGACCCUAAUACGGUCGGGGGAUGACGGUACCGGAAGAAUAAGCACCGGCUAACUACGUGCCAGCAGCCGCGGUAAUACGUAGGGUGCGAGCGUUAAUCGGAAUUACUGGGCGUAAAGCGUGCGCAGGCGGUUUGCUAAGACCGAUGUGAAAUCCCCGGGCUCAACCUGGGAACUGCAUUGGUGACUGGCAGGCUAGAGUAUGGCAGAGGGGGGUAGAAUUCCACGUGUAGCAGUGAAAUGCGUAGAGAUGUGGAGGAAUACCGAUGGCGAAGGCAGCCCCCUGGGCCAAUACUGACGCUCAUGCACGAAAGCGUGGGGAGCAAACAGGAUUAGAUACCCUUGUAGUCC